Macaca mulatta (Rhesus monkey) is the source of this 1412-nucleotide non-coding RNA. Lineage: Eukaryota; Metazoa; Chordata; Mammalia; Primates; Cercopithecidae. The record is from RefSeq and is a predicted model, not a curated record.
GUCUCGCGAUAGCCUCAGGCCUGGCGGGGACUCCCAGGCUGAGGAACGAUUCUGGGCAGUGUUGUUCCCGGAGGUCGGCGGCCGUUGCCCGCUCACCAGCUACGCGGACACUGCCCAGCUCUAAGAUAGCCGGGAAAGAGGACUCUGUUGGCUAUUGGAAAUUGCAGAGUAAUGUCUCAAGUGACAUUUAGUGAUGUGGCUAUAGACUUCUCUCAUGAAGAGUGGGGAUGGCUCGAUUCUGCUCAGAGGGACUUAUACAAGGAUGUGAUGGUCCAGAAUUACAAGAACCUGGUGUCUGUCUUUCCGUAACUAAGCCAUAUGUGAUCACAUUGUUGGAGGAUGGGAGAGAGCCCUGGAUGGUGGAGAAAAAACUGUCAAAAGGUAUGAUUCCAGAUUGGGAAUCAAGAUGGGAAAACAAGGAAUUAUCAACAAAGAAGGAUAUUUAUGAGGAAGAUUCACUCCAAACAGUAACAGUAGAAAAUGUUUUAAAACAAAAUUAUGAAUUUUCAAAUUCUAAUAAGAAUUUGCAAUAUAUAGAGAAGUUGGAAGCAUGAAAUUUAUGUAGAACAUUUCAGACCAGCAACUCUCACCUCUAGAGAAGGCCCCACUGGGGACAGUUAUAAAUAUGACACAUUUAGAAACACCUUUCAUUCAAAGUCUACUCUUUCUGAACCACAAAAAAUUUUGCUGAAGGGAAUUCACACAAAUAUGAUAUAUUAAAGAAGAAUUUACCCAAAAAGUCAGUUAUAAAAAAUGAGAGACUCAAUGGUGGAAAGAAACUUUUGAAUUCUAAUGAAAGUGGAGCAGCCUUUAACCAGAGCAAAUCUCCUCACCAGACUUGUAAUAGAGAGAAAAUCUAUACAUGCAGUGAAUGUGGGAAAGCCUUUGGCAAACAGUCAAUCCUCAAUCGCCACUGGAAAAUUCAUACAGGAGAGAAGGCCUAUGAAUGUCGUGAAUGUGGGAGGACUUUUAGCCGUGGCUCAUCCCUUAAACGAGAUCAGAUAAAUCAUAGUGGAGAGAAACCUUACAAAUGCAUUGAAUGUGGGAAGGCCUUUAGCCAUGGCUCAUCACUUACUAACCAUCAGAGCACUCACACUGGAGAGAAACCAUAUGAAUGUAUGAACUGUGGAAAGUCUUUUAGUCGUGUGUCCCUUCUUGUUCAACAUCUAAAAAUUCAUAUGCAAGAAAAAACGCUAUUGAGUAAAAAAAAAAAAGAAAAAAAAAACCACUAUGAGUGUCGUAUACAUGGAAAGGCCUUCAUUCAUAGGUCAUCUCUCAUUCACCAUCAGAAAAGCCUUAUGAAUAUAGAGAAUGUGGGAAAGCUUUUUGCUGUAGCUCACACCUUACUCAACAUCAAAUAAUUCACACUAUGGAGAAACAAUAUGAAUGCAACAAAUGUCUCAAAGUCUUUA